AACAGCCCAUCGCCCAAUCCGCCGCCAGCAUGGCGGACCGGAAAUUUGGCGUAUAGGAGAGACCCUUCCGAGUUCCGACUCCGGUGCAAGUCCCCCUGACUGGGGCUCUUACCCCGAGAGGGUGCAAGGCCCGUAGCUGCCGGAAGGCGGUACUCGGAUGUCCUCUCCUGGGAGUCGGGUUGCUUGAGAGUGCAGCCCUAAUCAGGUGGUAAACUCCAUCUAAGGCUAAAUACGACCUGGAGACCGAUAGCGAACAAGUACCGUGAGGGAAAGUUGAAAAGGACUUUGAAGAGAGAGUUCAAGAGUACGUGAAACCGUUCGGAGGUAAACGAGUGGGCCCUCGAAUUGAGAAGGCGGGGGGACUCAGCCGAACGCCGUUGCCUCCCGUUGCGUCCGCGCUUCCCUCCCGGGACGCGGCGUGGCGGAUGUUGGCGGCGGCGGACGGCGCAUUUCUUCCCGUCCUCCGACGCUGCGACCGGUCGGGCGCGCCACGAGCAGUCGGCCUUACACGCGGGAGCUGGCAGGUAGCCGGGACAGUGCAUCCGCGCUGUCUCCGGUGUUUAGCCGUCCCGUUUUCGUGCAGCCGUUCGCCCGACCGCAGGACUCGGCUCUUAGGGGCCUGGCCGUGCCCUCCCCCUGGCGGGGAUCGUUUUUCGGCCCGGAAGGGAGGCCGUCGUCUCUUCCCCGUUUCACCCUAGCGUGGGCGGGGAGCGGCGGCGCCCGUUCGCCGGGUCGUUUACGAGCGGGUGCNNNNNNNNNNNNNNNNNNNNNNNNNNNNNNNNNNNNNNNNNNNNNNNNNNACGGACCAAGGAGUUUAACAUGCACGCGAGUCAUUGGGUCGUGAAUAGGCCCAAAGGCGCAAUGAAAGUGAAGGGCGGCUCUCCGUCGUCCGCGUUGGGAUCCGGCGCCCUCGGGCGUCGGCGCACCAACGGCUCGUCCGUGCCGCCACGUCGGCCGGGCGAAGCUAGAGCGUGCACGUUGAGACCCGAAAGAUGGUGAACUAUGGCUGGGCAGGACGAAGCCAGAGGAAACUCUGGUGGAGGUCCGCAGCGGUUCUGACGUGCAAAUCGAUCGUCAGACCUGGCUAUAGGGGCGAAAGACUAAUCGAACCAUCUAGUAGCUGGUUCCCUCCGAAGUUUCCCUCAGGAUAGCUGGCGCUCGGGAGGAAGCAGUCUCAUCCGGUAAAGCGAAUGAUUAGAGGCCUUGGGGCCGAAAAGACCUCAACCUAUUCUCAAACUUUCAAUGGGUGAGAAGUCCGGUUUGCUCGAUUGAAGCCUGGACAUUCUCGGAUGCGAGUGCCCAGUGGGCCACUUUUGGUAAGCAGAACUGGCGCUGUGGGAUGAACCAAACGACGGGUUAAGGGGCCCGAUGCAGGACGCUCAUGAGAACCCAUGAAAGGUGUUGGUUGCUAUAGACAGCAGGACGGUGGCCAUGGAAGUCGGAAUCCGCUAAGGAGUGUGUAACAACUCACCUGCCGAAGCAACUAGCCCUGAAAAUGGAUGGCGCUUCAGCGUCGACCCCAUACCCGUCCGCCGCGGCGGAGAUGCGAUCGCAUUAUGCCGCGGUGAGUAGGAGGGCGCGGGGGCGCGCGUGGAAGGUGCCGGGCGUAAGCCCGCCUGGAGCCGCCCCCGGUGCAGAUCUUGGUGGUAGUAGCAAAUACUCAAGUGAGAACCUUGAGGACUGAGGUGGAGAAGGGUUCCAUGUGAACAGCAGUUGAACAUGGGUCAGUCGGUCCUAAGGGAUGUCCGAAAGGAUUUCCGAAGGGGGCACCUUAUUUCAUGGUCUCCCCCAUGACCGAAAGGGAAUCGGGUUAAUAUUCCCGAACCCGGACACGGAGAUCGGCCCUUUCGGGGGCACGUGCGGUAACGCAAACGACCUCGGAGACGUCGACGGGGGUCCCGGGAAGAGUUGUCUUUUCUUUGUAAGGGUUCGGCUCCCUGGAAUCGGCUCGCCCGGAGAUAGGGAUGCUGAACCCGUAAAGCACCGCGCCUCUUGUGGUGUCCGGAGCGCUCCCGUCGGCCCUUGAAAAUCCGAGCGAGAGUUGGUGAUUUU
Molecule: ribosomal RNA, 2052 nt
Filed under: Zalmoxis darwinensis
Lineage: Eukaryota; Metazoa; Arthropoda; Arachnida; Opiliones; Zalmoxidae
Description: partial 28S ribosomal RNA
Rfam family: Eukaryotic large subunit ribosomal RNA
Source: RNAcentral